This 431-nucleotide ribosomal RNA is filed under the name uncultured bacterium. Its description in RNAcentral is "partial 16S ribosomal RNA". It matches the Rfam family "Bacterial small subunit ribosomal RNA", at positions 29 to 507 of the family's 1533-position model. The record is from RNAcentral.
AGCGAACGCUGGCGGCAGGCUUAACACAUGCAAGUCGAGCGCCCCGCAAGGGGAGCGGCAGCCGGGAGAGUAACACGUGGGAACAUACCUUUUGGUUCGGAACAACUGAGGGAAACUUCAGCUAAUACCGGAUAAGCCCUUACGGGGAAAGAUUUAUCGCCGAAAGAUUGGCCCGCGUCUGAUUAGCUAGUUGGUGAGGUAACGGCUCACCAAGGCGACGAUCAGUAGCUGGCCUGAGAGGAUGAUCAGCCUCACUGGGACUGAGACACGGCCCAGACUCCUACGGGAGGCAGCAGUGGGGAAUAUUGGACAGUGGGGGCAACCCUGAUCCAGCCAUGCCGCGUGAGUGAUGAAGGCCUUAGGGUUGUAAAGCUCUUUUGCCCAGGAAGAUAAUGACGGUACCGGGAGAAAAAGCCCCGGCUAACUUCGUG